This is a long non-coding RNA of Vitis vinifera (wine grape), 2628 nucleotides long. RefSeq lists it as uncharacterized. The record is from RefSeq and is a predicted model, not a curated record. The transcript is spliced from 2 exons. Lineage: Eukaryota; Viridiplantae; Streptophyta; Magnoliopsida; Vitales; Vitaceae.
UUUAAUUUUUCUUUUUUUUAUUUUGAUUCCUUCACUGUUCUGGUGUGUCACCGCAACAUUGGAUCACUCUACACCCUAUUGAUCCAAAGGUCCAAAACGGUGGGUUUUGGGUUUAUGGUACAAGUGGAUACAGAGGGUACACGGAAUGGAGGGUGGAGAUUCAGAGAGAGAAAGAGGGUGCAUGGGGUCGUGGUCAUUUCUGGAACCCAAAUGGUAGGGUCUGGGUCUGGGGCUAUUGGUUUUGUCUUCUUGUUUUACGUUGGCCUUCAACUCUUUUUUACUCUUCUUAUAACCCCCAAAUCAUUCUCUUCAUCAUGAUCACAACACACACAUCUCUCUUUCUAUCUCUAUAAUUCUCUCUCCUCAUCCCCCUUGAAGAAAGGCGAGAGUCUAGGGGGGAUAAAAGGGAGAAGAGAGGAGAGAGUUGGGGAGAAACACACAAAAGGCUAAGGCUUUGACGGGGUGAAGAUUGGAGGCCAUGGAGCUUCUAUUUUGAGGGGAAUGUUGUCUGGCUCGAGGACACUUACCUUAACUUUGAUCCGUUUCUCUAGAUCCAUAUCACCUAUAUAUAUGUAUUAUUGUAUUUUUAUUUGUACUGAGCAUGUGUUGGUGUCGUCGGACCAGGCUUCAUUCCCCCCAAUUAUCGCUUCCAUGGAGAGCUUUUCUCGGGCUUGAUCUUGGGUUCCACGUGCAGUUGCUAACGGGUUUGUUACCUUUGUCCAUUUUUGGGAAUUAUUGGGGGUUUUGAGUAAUGGGUUUUUGAUUUUCAGGCAAAUUGAUUUGGUUCUUGCUGAGGAGGAGACUGGUGUAAUGGUGAAGUGAUUUUUUUCCUGCGGUUUUUGGGAGCAAGAGGGGGUUUACAAUGGUAGGGUUUUAGGUUUUAGAGAAAUUAAGGUUGUUAGGGAUGUGCAGAUUGGUGUAAUGAUGAAGGAUUUUGACUAUUAUACAUUUGCUUGAUCAGCUGCAUAAAAGUAUUUCAUCAUGACUCCUUUUUAUUUUUCUUUUCUUUUUCUCAUCAUGGUGUUUUUGUCAGUCAUAGCCCCUUUUCUGGUUCAUCAUUAGGCAGAUGUUGCUCAUGAUGGCUUUCAGUAUCUGAUCUGUCUGUUUCUGCUACUUUCAGAUCUGGGUUUGAAACCCAACCUUUUUUAAACUCAAAACCACAUCCUCCUCUUCUUGUUUUUCACCGUUCCUCCUCCUCCUCCUCCUCCUCCUCUUCUUCUUCUUUCUGGUUACUUCAUGGUGCAGAUUGGGCUUUUGAUUUCAGAAUCACUGGAUCUUAAAUGUCUAUCUACACUAAGCUAGAAUACCCAUCAGAGAAGUACUACCCUGCAAUGUCAUUGCUUGUUACAGUCCUGUAAUAUCAUAUCGAUUGUCUUGUCUUUCAUUUUGAACUCAACUCAUCUCUGAUUUAUCUUUUGGAUGUAUCCUUUACCUUUUCUCAUCUUUAUGGUGGGCAGGUUUGUGAAGCAUUGUAAUCUCCGUCCCCUUUUGUUUCACUUUCAUCUAAGCAUUUUUUUUUUCUUUUUUGUUAGAAUUCUGAUCCAGGUUUCUGAUCCAUCAUCCAAUUGUAAGCUUUGCAUGGGUAAAGAUUAGAAGGAUCUGCAUUAAUGAUUUUGGGGUUUGUGAUUGAAUAAUAUUUUUGCAAAUUUGAUUUUCUCAUUCUAUUAUUGCAUUAGGGUUUGGGUUCAAUAAUGUUGUAUAGGGAUGUUUUGUCUUAUGUUAGAUCUUUUUAUUUUCUGUAACAUACAUGUAUACCAUAGAUUUGAGCAGUAGAGUUAAGGCAGUAAAACCUGCUUUCAAAUUGUUGGGUGCGUGUCCGAGGCAGACCACUGGUCAUGGCUUUAUUUUCUUCUCAUCUAAAACCCUAGCUUGGCUCAUCCAUGGUUUACUCAUAAAAUAUUAGGUAGAAAUCUUCCCAAGGCUUUCACCAAAGCUCCCACCUUUCAUGGAGUUCAAUAGUGUGAUUCUAAUUGGGUUGUUUCUGAGGAGCAUUUUGCAGGUGAAUUACCCACAAGCUUCAAUGGGUAAACCCACAAUUAGAAGAUGUUGAAUUUCUUCAUAUGUUAUCUUAAACUACACUUUAUAGGGAAUUAUUGAUGAACCCAAGAGAAAGAGUACUCGUCAAAACUAUGCAGAGAAAACAGUUGAUUGUAAAGACAGCUAAGGGAAGAGUCACCAGGCCUCUACACCCAUAGCCUCAAUCACUCUCUCUCUUAUCUCUCCAUUCUUCUUUACACGUUUGAAGCACGUCAGCAUACAAGGUCAGACAUGGAUGGCUCUUCAAGCCAUGAAAUGGAUAUUAAUGGGCUGUGAUGAUCCCACCUCUGAUUUUGAAUCACUGUUCAAUCUUCAUGUCCAAAAAGCUGGCUAGGAAUCUAGGAAGCAAAUGUCAGUUUUUUUUUUUUGUUUUCUCUUUCUUUGUUAUUUACUAUUAAUACAUGGCAUUAUAUUACACAUCCUUGGGAGUCAUCAAACUUUCUCACCCCUAUCUUCAUUGCUGUUGAGACUUUGGGGGAGGGUUUGAGAAUAGGGCUUUGUGUGAAUGGUUUGUGUGGAGAAGUGCCUUUUGGGAAUUUGGAUCUUUUUGACUUUGUAAAUAUAAAGUAGAACACUUGUUACUUUGCUUUA